CGCGUAGGCGGUUGACACAGUCAGGCGUGAAAUUCCUGGGCUUAACCUGGGGGCUGCGCUUGAUACAUGUUGACUUGAGUAUGGAAGAGGGUCGUGGAAUUCCCAGUGUAGAGGUGAAAUUCGUAGAUAUUGGGAAGAACACCGGUGGCGAAGGCGGCGACCUGGUCCAUUACUGACGCUGAGGCGCGAAAGCGUGGGGAGCAAACAGGAUUAGAUACCCUGGUAGUCCACGCUGUAAACGAUGUGUGCUGGAUGUUGGGCGGCCUAGCCGUUCAGUGUCGUAGCUAACGCGGUAAGCACACCGCCUGGGGAGUACGGCCGCAAGGUUGAA
RNAcentral lists this ribosomal RNA (331 nucleotides) under uncultured bacterium. RNAcentral's name for it is "bacterial SSU rRNA". It matches the Rfam family "Bacterial small subunit ribosomal RNA", at positions 568 to 898 of the family's 1533-position model. The record is from RNAcentral.